GACGAACGCUGGCGGCGUGCUUAACACAUGCAAGUCGAACGGAAAGGCCCUGCUUUUGUGGGGUGCUCGAGUGGCGAACGGGUGAGUAACACGUGAGUAACCUGCCCUUGACUUUGGGAUAACUUCAGGAAACUGGGGCUAAUACCGGAUAGGAGCUCCUGCUGCAUGGUGGGGGUUGGAAAGUUUCGGCGGUUGGGGAUGGACUCGCGGCCUAUCAGCUUGUUGGUGGGGUAGUGGCUUACCAAGGCUUUGACGGGUAGCCGGCCUGAGAGGGUGACCGGCCACAUUGGGACUGAGAUACGGCCCAGACUCCUACGGGAGGCAGCAGUGGGGAAUAUUGCACAAUGGGCGGAAGCCUGAUGCAGCAACGCCGCGUGCGGGAUGACGGCCUUCGGGUUGUAAACCGCUUUCGCCUGUGACGAAGCGUGAGUGACGGGAAUGGGUAAAGAAGCACCGGCUAACUACGU
Molecule: ribosomal RNA, 467 nt
Filed under: uncultured bacterium
Lineage: Bacteria
Description: partial 16S ribosomal RNA
Rfam family: Bacterial small subunit ribosomal RNA
Source: RNAcentral